Molecule: ribosomal RNA, 301 nt
Filed under: uncultured bacterium
Lineage: Bacteria
Description: partial 16S ribosomal RNA
Rfam family: Bacterial small subunit ribosomal RNA
Source: RNAcentral
CAGUAGCCGCGGGAAUACGUAGGGUGCAAGCGUUAAUCGGAAUUACUGGGCGUAAAGCGUGCGCAGGCGGUUUGUUAAGACAGAUGUGAAAUCCCCGGGCUCAACCUGGGAACUGCAUUUGUGACUGGCAAGCUAGAGUAUGGCAGAGGGGGGUGGAAUUCCGCGUGUAGCAGUGAAAUGCGUAGAUAUGCGGAGGAACACCGAUGGCGAAGGCAGCCCCCUGGGCCAAUACUGACGCUCAUGCACGAAAGCGUGGGGAGCAAACAGGAUUAGAUACCCGUGUAGUCCCUGUCUCUUAUAA